Molecule: small nucleolar RNA, 126 nt
Organism: Oryctolagus cuniculus (rabbit)
Lineage: Eukaryota; Metazoa; Chordata; Mammalia; Lagomorpha; Leporidae
Source: Ensembl
AGCAUUUGUGUGUGUACUUGUUUAACUUGUGGAUGAAGAUUUAUAAAGAUGCAAAAACUAAAACCUCUUUUACAACCCAGAACUCACUGUUUAGUAUGAAUUUUGAAACAUAUAAGAAGGGAUAUU